Amphiprion ocellaris (clown anemonefish) is the source of this 967-nucleotide long non-coding RNA. NCBI's taxonomy places the organism in Eukaryota, Metazoa, Chordata, Actinopteri, Pomacentridae. The record is from Ensembl.
CCUCACGAGACCGGGGUCAACCACGGCUACCAGCAUGAACGACGGCGCUUCAGACCUUUGUAGCGAGGACCCGAUGCCAGGUCCAGUGGACAGACUUCAGACGUCUCUGUGUGUCCGGUCCUGUCCGGUCCUGUCUCUGGUUGCCUGGUUACAGACGCUGCUGCACCCGCACGUUUAAAAAUGUCUACACCUGAAACUCCACCACGUCUAAAGAAGCAAAAACGUUUGCAAAUGUACAGACUGGAGUGGGAAGAGUGGAACCCCUGGCAAUGGGUACAAGGCAAACUGUGUUUUCUGUUGCUCAUGGACUGGCUGAAGUAAGGCAGCAUCAGGAGACAAACAUGGAGGAAAUAUGAGAACAGAGAGAACCCAACCAGCAGGUCACAGUUUAUCAUCAUCUAAUCAUCUCCUGAAGUCGAUAUGGUCCCUCUCUAUCUCCCCACACAUCCACCAACCACUGGAACACAUCUCCAAAGUUCUGCUGGGCCAGCUCAGCUUCCUCUCAGAAGAAGUGCUGCCACCUGACAGAUGAAGGAGCCUUUUGAGAGGCAGCUGGCAUCGUGAUUGGACUGUACUUUGGUCUGUUCCAAUCCAGCUUCAGCUCCAGAGACGGCAGGCGGGACGAGUCAACGGAGGCCGGGUGGACGAAGGCUGCAGCUGAGUACAAUCUAGAAAACAACAGAGGAGGAGUGCAGCGGCCCAGAGCCAGAACAGAGUAGCAUCACCAAAGAACUACAGACUCUUCACAACCUGCUCAAACUCUUGGUACAGGAUCUCACCACACGGGUCAAGAAGGUUGCUUUGUAGAACUGUUCCAGAAAACCUCACUAAACCACAUGGAGGGGCCUCAAGAUAGUCGUCCAAAUGAAACCGUACAAAAACCAAACUAGUACAACCCAAACGCUAAAGUCUCCUGCAGCCUACCAGAGAACCUCUGAGAACAGAGAAUCAGGACAGGAACUCUUAC